This 76-nucleotide transfer RNA is filed under the name Paracoccus sp. (in: a-proteobacteria). RNAcentral describes it as "Paracoccus sp. (anaerobic digester metagenome) tRNA-Ala". It matches the Rfam family "tRNA". From Rfam's summary of the family: Transfer RNA (tRNA) molecules are approximately 80 nucleotides in length. Their secondary structure includes four short double-helical elements and three loops (D, anti-codon, and T loops). The record is from RNAcentral. RNAcentral also lists the same sequence under 244 other names. Lineage: Bacteria; Pseudomonadati; Pseudomonadota; Alphaproteobacteria; Rhodobacterales; Paracoccaceae.
GGGGCCAUAGCUCAGUUGGGAGAGCGCUUGAAUGGCAUUCAAGAGGUCAGGGGUUCGACUCCCCUUGGCUCCACCA